Molecule: ribosomal RNA, 482 nt
Filed under: uncultured bacterium
Lineage: Bacteria
Description: partial 16S ribosomal RNA
Rfam family: Bacterial small subunit ribosomal RNA
Source: RNAcentral
AUCGAACGCUGGCGGCAUGCCUUACACAUGCAAGUCGAACGGUAACAGGUCUUCGGAUGCUGACGAGUGGCGAACGGGUGAGUAAUACAUCGGAACGUGCCCGAUCGUGGGGGAUAACGAAGCGAAAGCUUUGCUAAUACCGCAUAAGAUCUACGGAUGAAAGCAGGGGACCGCAAGGCCUUGCGCGAACGGAGCGGCCGAUGGCAGAUUAGGUAGUUGGUGGGAUAAAAGCUUACCAAGCCGACGAUCUGUAGCUGGUCUGAGAGGACGACCAGCCACACUGGGACUGAGACACGGCCCAGACUCCUACGGGAGGCAGCAGUGGGGAAUUUUGGACAAUGGGCGAAAGCCUGAUCCAGCCAUGCCGCGUGCAGGAUGAAGGCCUUCGGGUUGUAAACUGCUUUUGUAAGGAACGAAAAGACUCUGGUUAAUACCUGGGGUCCAUGACGGUACCGUAAGAAUAAGCACCGGCUAACUACGUG